RNAcentral lists this ribosomal RNA (2906 nucleotides) under Escherichia coli. RNAcentral describes it as "bacterial LSU rRNA". It matches the Rfam family "Bacterial large subunit ribosomal RNA". Lineage: Bacteria; Pseudomonadati; Pseudomonadota; Gammaproteobacteria; Enterobacterales; Enterobacteriaceae. The record is from RNAcentral.
GGUUAAGCGACUAAGCGUACACGGUGGAUGCCCUGGCAGUCAGAGGCGAUGAAGGACGUGCUAAUCUGCGAUAAGCGUCGGUAAGGUGAUAUGAACCGUUAUAACCGGCGAUUUCCGAAUGGGGAAACCCAGUGUGAUUCGUCACACUAUCAUUAACUGAAUCCAUAGGUUAAUGAGGCGAACCGGGGGAACUGAAACAUCUAAGUACCCCGAGGAAAAGAAAUCAACCGAGAUUCCCCCAGUAGCGGCGAGCGAACGGGGAGCAGCCCAGAGCCUGAAUCAGUGUGUGUGUUAGUGGAAGCGUCUGGAAAGGCGCGCGAUACAGGGUGACAGCCCCGUACACAAAAAUGCACAUGCUGUGAGCUCGAUGAGUAGGGCGGGACACGUGGUAUCCUGUCUGAAUAUGGGGGGACCAUCCUCCAAGGCUAAAUACUCCUGACUGACCGAUAGUGAACCAGUACCGUGAGGGAAAGGCGAAAAGAACCCCGGCGAGGGGAGUGAAAAAGAACCUGAAACCGUGUACGUACAAGCAGUGGGAGCACAGAGCAAUCUGUGUGACUGCGUACCUUUUGUAUAAUGGGUCAGCGACUUAUAUUCUGUAGCAAGGUUAACCGAAUAGGGGAGCCGAAGGGAAACCGAGUCUUAACUGGGCGUUAAGUUGCAGGGUAUAGACCCGAAACCCGGUGAUCUAGCCAUGGGCAGGUUGAAGGUUGGGUAACACUAACUGGAGGACCGAACCGACUAAUGUUGAAAAAUUAGCGGAUGACUUGUGGCUGGGGGUGAAAGGCCAAUCAAACCGGGAGAUAGCUGGUUCUCCCCGAAAGCUAUUUAGGUAGCGCCUCGUGAAUUCAUCUCCGGGGGUAGAGCACUGUUUCGGCAAGGGGGUCAUCCCGACUUACCAACCCGAUGCAAACUGCGAAUACCGGAGAAUGUUAUCACGGGAGACACACGGCGGGUGCUAACGUCCGUCGUGAAGAGGGAAACAACCCAGACCGCCAGCUAAGGUCCCAAAGUCAUGGUUAAGUGGGAAACGAUGUGGGAAGGCCCAGACAGCCAGGAUGUUGGCUUAGAAGCAGCCAUCAUUUAAAGAAAGCGUAAUAGCUCACUGGUCGAGUCGGCCUGCGCGGAAGAUGUAACGGGGCUAAACCAUGCACCGAAGCUGCGGCAGCGACGCUUAUGCGUUGUUGGGUAGGGGAGCGUUCUGUAAGCCUGCGAAGGUGUGCUGUGAGGCAUGCUGGAGGUAUCAGAAGUGCGAAUGCUGACAUAAGUAACGAUAAAGCGGGUGAAAAGCCCGCUCGCCGGAAGACCAAGGGUUCCUGUCCAACGUUAAUCGGGGCAGGGUGAGUCGACCCCUAAGGCGAGGCCGAAAGGCGUAGUCGAUGGGAAACAGGUUAAUAUUCCUGUACUUGGUGUUACUGCGAAGGGGGGACGGAGAAGGCUAUGUUGGCCGGGCGACGGUUGUCCCGGUUUAAGCGUGUAGGCUGGUUUUCCAGGCAAAUCCGGAAAAUCAAGGCUGAGGCGUGAUGACGAGGCACUACGGUGCUGAAGCAACAAAUGCCCUGCUUCCAGGAAAAGCCUCUAAGCAUCAGGUAACAUCAAAUCGUACCCCAAACCGACACAGGUGGUCAGGUAGAGAAUACCAAGGCGCUUGAGAGAACUCGGGUGAAGGAACUAGGCAAAAUGGUGCCGUAACUUCGGGAGAAGGCACGCUGAUAUGUAGGUGAAGUCCCUCGCGGAUGGAGCUGAAAUCAGUCGAAGAUACCAGCUGGCUGCAACUGUUUAUUAAAAACACAGCACUGUGCAAACACGAAAGUGGACGUAUACGGUGUGACGCCUGCCCGGUGCCGGAAGGUUAAUUGAUGGGGUCAGCGCAAGCGAAGCUCUUGAUCGAAGCCCCGGUAAACGGCGGCCGUAACUAUAACGGUCCUAAGGUAGCGAAAUUCCUUGUCGGGUAAGUUCCGACCUGCACGAAUGGCGUAAUGAUGGCCAGGCUGUCUCCACCCGAGACUCAGUGAAAUUGAACUCGCUGUGAAGAUGCAGUGUACCCGCGGCAAGACGGAAAGACCCCGUGAACCUUUACUAUAGCUUGACACUGAACAUUGAGCCUUGAUGUGUAGGAUAGGUGGGAGGCUUUGAAGUGUGGACGCCAGUCUGCAUGGAGCCGACCUUGAAAUACCACCCUUUAAUGUUUGAUGUUCUAACGUGGACCCGUAAUCCGGGUUGCGGACAGUGUCUGGUGGGUAGUUUGACUGGGGCGGUCUCCUCCUAAAGAGUAACGGAGGAGCACGAAGGUUGGCUAAUCCUGGUCGGACAUCAGGAGGUUAGUGCAAUGGCAUAAGCCAGCUUGACUGCGAGCGUGACGGCGCGAGCAGGUGCGAAAGCAGGUCAUAGUGAUCCGGUGGUUCUGAAUGGAAGGGCCAUCGCUCAACGGAUAAAAGGUACUCCGGGGAUAACAGGCUGAUACCGCCCAAGAGUUCAUAUCGACGGCGGUGUUUGGCACCUCGAUGUCGGCUCAUCACAUCCUGGGGCUGAAGUAGGUCCCAAGGGUAUGGCUGUUCGCCAUUUAAAGUGGUACGCGAGCUGGGUUUAGAACGUCGUGAGACAGUUCGGUCCCUAUCUGCCGUGGGCGCUGGAGAACUGAGGGGGGCUGCUCCUAGUACGAGAGGACCGGAGUGGACGCAUCACUGGUGUUCGGGUUGUCAUGCCAAUGGCACUGCCCGGUAGCUAAAUGCGGAAGAGAUAAGUGCUGAAAGCAUCUAAGCACGAAACUUGCCCCGAGAUGAGUUCUCCCUGACUCCUUGAGAGUCCUGAAGGAACGUUGAAGACGACGACGUUGAUAGGCCGGGUGUGUAAGCGCAGCGAUGCGUUGAGCUAACCGGUACUAAUGAACCGUGAGGCUUAACCUU